Molecule: ribosomal RNA, 456 nt
Filed under: uncultured bacterium
Lineage: Bacteria
Description: bacterial SSU rRNA
Rfam family: Bacterial small subunit ribosomal RNA
Source: RNAcentral
UACGGGAGGCAGCAGUGGGGAAUAUUGCACAAUGGGCGCAAGCCUGAUGCAGCCAUGCCGCGUGUAUGAAAAAGGCCUUCGGGUUGUAAAGUACUUUCAGUCGCGAGGAAGGUGUUAAGGUUAAUAACCUUAGCAAUUGACGUUAGCGACAGAAGAAGCACCGGCUAACUCCGUGCCAGCAGCCGCGGUAAUACGGAGGGUGCGAGCGUUAAUCGGAAUUACUGGGCGUAAAGGGCACGCAGGCGGUUAAUUAAGUUGGAUGUGAAAUCCCCGGGCUUAACCUGGGAAUGGCAUUCAAGACUGGUUAGCUAGAGUCUUGUAGAGGGGGUAGAAUUCCAUGUGUAGCGGUGAAAUGCGUAGAGAUGUGGAGGAAUACCGGUGGCGAAGGCGGCCCCUGGACAAAGACUGACGCUCAUGUGCGAAAGCGUGGGGAGCAAACAGGGAUUAGAUACCCGU